RNAcentral lists this long non-coding RNA (283 nucleotides) under Brassica rapa (field mustard). RNAcentral describes it as "long non-coding RNA (BRAP_LNC000970)". The record is from RNAcentral. Lineage: Eukaryota; Viridiplantae; Streptophyta; Magnoliopsida; Brassicales; Brassicaceae.
UUAUAACACGGAGUUAGAGAAACUCCGACUGAAGUUCAUCUCAUCCUUCCUCUGUGUCGGAUUGAGGAGAGAGGACAGAGCUAAAGGGGAGAGAGAACUAGUUAAAAGUAAAGGUUUUAUAUUGAAGAAGCUGUAGCCUGUAAGAGUAAAAUAGUAUAUGAAAAUUGAAAUAAUAAUUAGAGCACAUGAAGUCCACUCCAAUGGAUCUCAAACUCAUUUUCUUAAAACUAAACACAGGUGUGUAAAAUCAGAUCGUUUGAGAUUUAUUCUCUGCCUACAGAAC